This 443-nucleotide ribosomal RNA is filed under the name uncultured bacterium. RNAcentral describes it as "partial 16S ribosomal RNA". It matches the Rfam family "Bacterial small subunit ribosomal RNA", at positions 338 to 795 of the family's 1533-position model. The record is from RNAcentral.
CCUACGGGCGGCAGCAGUGGGGGAUAUUGGACAAUGGGGGGAACCCUGAUCCAGCGACGCCGCGUGAGUGAAGAAGUAUUUCGGUAUGUAAAGCUCUGUCAGCAGGGAAGAAAGAAAUGACGGUACCUGACCAAGAAGCCCCGGCUAACUACGUGCCAGCAGCCGCGGUAAUACGUAGGGGGCAAGCGUUAUCCGGAAUUACUGGGUGAAAAGGGAGCGUAGACGGUUAAGUAAGUCUGGAGUGAAAGGCCGGGGCCCAACCCCGGGACUGCUCUGGAAACUAUUGAACUUGAGUGCAGGGGAGGUAAGCGGAAUUCCUAGUGUAGCGGUGAAAUGCGUAGAUAGUAGGAGGAACACCAGUGGCGAGGGCGGCUUACUGGACUGUAACUGACGUUGAGGCUCGAAAGCGUGGGGAGCAAACAGGAUUAGAUACCCCAGUAGUC